This 484-nucleotide ribosomal RNA is filed under the name uncultured bacterium. RNAcentral's name for it is "partial 16S ribosomal RNA". It matches the Rfam family "Bacterial small subunit ribosomal RNA", at positions 30 to 507 of the family's 1533-position model. The record is from RNAcentral.
AUUGAACGCUGGCGGCAGGCCUAACACAUGCAAGUCGAGCGGAUGAAGGGAGCUUGCUUCUGGAUUCAGCGGCGGACGGGCGAGUAAUGCCUAGGAAUCUGCCUGGUUGUGGGGGAUAACGUCCGGAAACGGGCGCUAAUACCGCAUACGUCCUGAGGGCGAAAGGGGGGGAUCUUCGGACCUUACGCUAUCAGAUGAGCCUAGGUCGGAUUAGCUAGUUGGUGGGGUAAAGGCCUACCAAGGCGACGAUCCGUAACUGGUCUGAGAGGAUGAUCAGUCACACUGGAACUGAGACACGGUCCAGACUCCUACGGGAGGCAGCAGUGGGGAAUAUUGGACAAUGGGCGAAAGCCUGAUCCAGCCAUGCCGCGUGUGUGAAGAAGGUCUUCGGAUUGUAAAGCACUUUAAGUUGGGAGGAAGGGCAGUAAGUUAAUACCUUGCUGUUUUGACGUUACCAACAGAAUAAGCACCGGCUAACUUCGUG